GGGACAACAGUUGGAAACGACUGCUAAUACCGCAUAAUCCCUGAGGGGGAAAGAUUUAUCGCUUUAAGAUUGGCCCGCGGAAGAUUAGGUAGUUGGUGGGGUAAAGGCCUACCAAGCCGACGAUCUAUAGCUGGUCUGAGAGGACGAACAGCCACAUUGGAACUGAGACACGGUCCAGACUCCUACGGGAGGCAGCAGUGAGGAAUAUUGGGCAAUGGAGGAAACUCUGACCCAGCCAUGCCGCGUGAGUGAAGAAGGUUUUCGAAUCGUAAAGCUCUUUCGGAUGGGACGAUGAUGACGGUACCAUCUAAAGAAGCCCCGGCAAACUUCGUGCCAGCAGCCGCGGUAAUACGAAGGGGGCAAGCGUUGUUCGGAAUUACUGGGCGUAAGGGGUGUGUAGGCGGAUUUGUAAGAUAGUGGUGAAAUACCUGAGCUCAACUUAGGAAUUGCCAUUAUAACUAUAGGUCUGGAGUGACAGAGAGGAUAUUGGAAUACCCAGUGUAGAGGUGAAAUUCGUAGAUAUUGGGUAGAACACCAGUGGCGAAGGCGAGUAUCUGGCUGUCAACUGACGCUGAGGCACGAAAGCAUGGGGAUCAAACAGGAUUAGAUACCCUGGUAGUCCAUGCUGUAAACGAUGAAUGCUAGUUGUCGGCAAAAGCCGGUGACGCAG
RNAcentral lists this ribosomal RNA (670 nucleotides) under uncultured bacterium. RNAcentral's name for it is "bacterial SSU rRNA". It matches the Rfam family "Bacterial small subunit ribosomal RNA", at positions 140 to 851 of the family's 1533-position model. The record is from RNAcentral.